GGGGGUGACAGGCUUCGACUCUGGUCGUCGAGGUGAGAGAAGCGAGCCGUGGUCUCCGGAGCCACGUUAAAGAGCCGGAACCAAAAACAAACGCCGAGCCUCAGCUCGCGAUCGCUGCCUGAGAGUAGCGACGUCCGACCGGUCUCAGCCCUGCGGGCCGGAUCCGGGCGACAUCUAGUAGGGCUCACCUGACUGGUCGCACCGACAGGCCACCGGGGACACGCACGUCGGGUACGGGUCGCGAUCGACGCUGGCGAAGGUCGUGGCCCCGACAACCUUCCGCCAGCUGCGCUCGGAGAAGCCUCAUCAAGAAGCCAGAGGACGCGGGUUCGAUUCCCGCCACCUCCACGU
This 351-nucleotide transfer-messenger RNA is filed under the name Acidimicrobiales. RNAcentral describes it as "JAKADK01 sp021820665 Standard tmRNA". It matches the Rfam family "transfer-messenger RNA". From Rfam's summary of the family: Bacterial tmRNA, also known as 10Sa RNA or SsrA, is named for its dual tRNA and mRNA-like properties. Its role is to liberate the mRNA from a stalled ribosome. To accomplish this part of the tmRNA is used as a reading frame that ends in a translation stop signal. The record is from RNAcentral. Lineage: Bacteria; Bacillati; Actinomycetota; Acidimicrobiia. RNAcentral also lists the same sequence under 2 other names.